RNAcentral lists this ribosomal RNA (440 nucleotides) under uncultured bacterium. Its description in RNAcentral is "partial 16S ribosomal RNA". It matches the Rfam family "Bacterial small subunit ribosomal RNA", at positions 338 to 795 of the family's 1533-position model. The record is from RNAcentral.
CCUACGGGAGGCAGCAGUGGGGAAUAUUGCACAAUGGGGGAAACCCUGAUGCAGCGACGUCGCGUGAGUGAAGACGUACUUCGUUAUGUAAAGCUCUUUCAGCAGGGGAGAAAAUGACGGUACCUGAGUAAGAAGCCCCGGCUAACUACGUGCCAGCAGCCGCUGUAAUACGUAAGGGGCAAGCGUUAUUCGGAUUUACUGGGUGUAAAGGGAGCGUUGACGGGAUUGCAAGUCUGGAGUGAAAGGCGGGGGCUCAACCCCCGGACUGCUAUGGAAACUGUAGGGCUGGAGUGGAGGAGAGGUAAGUGGAAUUCCUGGUGUAGCGGUGAAAUGCGUAGAUAUUAGGCGGAACACCAGUGGCGAAGGCAGCUUGCUGGACUGUAACGGACGUUGAGGCACGAAAGCGUGGGGAGCGAACAGGAUUAGAUACCCGUGUAGUC